GGCGCGGAGCCGCGCGGAGUGACAAAGCCGCCGCUGCCGCCGCCGGGGGUGGGAGCCGCGCUCGCCCGCCCGCCCCUCGACUCGCGAGGGCGUAAAAGUUUGUCUCAGCUCGAGCAUUCCUAGCGCCAACACGCCCUCAGGUAAAGGUGGAAGUAAAUGGCCACGCUGUAUUGACAGAGCAGGUAGAUGAAACUCAAGAGAAAAGGUGUGGAUAAAUGAAACUAGCCCAUGAUGAACCUGUUUUCUCCGUGACCACAAUAUUAACCAGGAUGAAUGGCGGUGGCAGUGGGCCUGCAUCACAGGUUGCAGCAGAUGUUCUCAAUAUUUCUAUUAAAAUUUCCUUAUUUCCAUAUGCAAGAGGAGCCCCAGAGCUGCAUCCUUAUGGUAGCUACCAUGCCGUGAUGUAAGCUGCCAUUCACUGGGGAGCUUUGGCAAUAGAAUUGGCUAGAUCAGGAAGCCUAUGUCAACUAUGGAACAACAACUUGCAGCUCAUCUCUAUUGAUGGUGAAACAGUCGCAAAUGGAAUUCCAAGAAACAUUCUAUAUACACUGCCUCUAGGACUGGGACAGAUAGCCACUGAGUACCUGCUUCAAAUCACCCUGCACGUUUUCUCUUUGGAAAGAUAAGCACUGGAGAACCAUCUCGUUACCUUCAGCAGAAAUGGAAACAAAUCAAGACAUUAAGAAUGCCGCAGUGGACAGCAGUUAUGCAAGGUUCAGCAGAGGAAGUUUUCAAGAUGGUGUGCCUCACUAGCCAGAAAUCAGAAAAGAUCGAAGCUAGCCUUUUCAUCUCAGCUGCUCCUUAAAUCAGUGCAACCCCUCCAAAUUAAUGUGAAUUGAAACUUGCAUUGCUUUUCAACUUAAUUGAAUACUUACUAUAUGUGAACCACUGCACAAAAUAGGGGAAGAAGAUGUGGGAGACAAAGAUGUGGAGCCUGUCUUCAAUAAAUUUACAGUUAGUUUCAGGGUACAUUGUUUUUCUUCUGCUGUUAAUUAGGUGUAUCCCCAAGACAAUAAAUACAUGAAUGGAAAAGUAUAUUCUGUGUUUUAAGUCUCUUUAAUAAAAAACAAAACAAAAUCCAAAAAAACUCCUAACAUGGCAACUCAGGACAUUUUAAUCCUUUUUUUUGUUGUUGGGCUUCUGAUAGGAUCCAUUUUAUUGAUUCCAUAAAUAUUUAGUAGACUUUAGACAUAUUAAUACAUUGUAGUUUGAGUUAAUUUGCAUUAAAUUCUGUUUUUUUCCCCUUAGGUAUAGAUUGUCUGUUGGAAAAAUAUAUUGCUUGUGGAUUUCUUGGGGAGUGGGAAGGUGAAUUAUACCUGUUGUCUCUACAGUCCACUACCUUCCACACCCUAGGGCAGUGGUCCCCAACCUUCUUGGCACCAGGGAUCAGUUUCCUGGAAGACAAUUUUUCUGUGGAUGGUGUGGGGAUGGUUUUGGGAUGGAACUGUUCCACCUCAGAUCAUCAGGCAUUAGUUAGGCUCUCAUAACGAGUGCGCAGCCUAGAUCCCUCACAUGCACAGUUCACAGUAGGGUUUGCGCUGCUAUGAGAAUCUAAGGCUGCCACUGAUCUGACAGGAGGCAGAACUCAGGUGGCAAUGCUUACUGGCCCACUGCUCACCUCUUGCUGUGCGGCCUGGUUCCUAAUAGGCCAUGGACCCCCACAGACGGGUACUAGUCUGCAGCCUGUGGACCCCAGCCCUAGGGGCCUGCCAUUCUGAGUGAGUUAUUAGCAUGAAGAAGAGGAAGAUCUGGAUCAAACGUGGGUGAUGGUACUCAGAGACCCAAGAUAGGAUAGGGAUGGAACAAAAUCCAUCUGGGCAACGGCUCUAUGAAAAUUUGGCUAAGUAAUUAUUUCAGUAUUCAUUGUAUUCAUUGUCCUUCGUGUUCCAUAAGUUAAAUGACUGUCUAAUUUUUCCAAAAAUUUAUUUCUGACUUGAGAAUAAGUGUGUCAUGAUUUUCCCAGUGUAAAGACACUGAUAUAACUGUAGAUACCAGACAUUUUAUGUAGUGUCUAUGACACAUUUUAGUAUGUAUGAGCCAACAAUAGACAUGUCUUUGUCUUGAGGAGUGUCCAUCUGAAUUGAAAAUGUGUCAGCUUUUUUUUAACAUCAUCAACAGACUUCUUAAUUAAGCUGCCAAUACAUACUGCCAAUAGCACUGUGUGCUGUCUGAGAAAUGCAUUGUGUAAGUGCUAUUUCCAUCUUAUUAAAUAAACAAUGUUGCUCUGUAUAAACUGGAUUUAAAGUGUUCUUUGAAUGAGGCAUUAUAUUGCUCCAUAAAUAAUGUGAUGUGAAUUCUCAUAUGAUCCCUUUUAACUUAAUUUCUAAAAAAAUAUUAUUUGCUCCUCAGUAAGGAAUAGCUCUAAUUGGACUGGUAACUUUAGUGAUAUGAUUUGUCUGUAACAGGCUGAAUCGCCCCACUCCCAAACUCCUGGUCGUGAUACUGGAUAUUUGUUAUGCCACUUUUAGUUUGCAUGAGGUAUCUUCCAGGAAGUAUUAGUUAUUAACUUGUGUUCUACUAAACUGUAGAUAUUUAUUUCCUGUUCUGGAAGAUUUCUUGGAGUGUCCAUCUGUGCAUUCCUGGUGCCUAGUGUAGUCUUGCUAAUGGAAUAGCACCUUUAUUGGUGCUACUUAGGGGUUGGUAGCUUACAAUCAAUCUACUUGGAACGUAUCCAAAUAAACUGGAUAUUUUUAUACA
This 2697-nucleotide long non-coding RNA is filed under the name Homo sapiens (human). Its description in RNAcentral is "non-protein coding NR2F1-AS1:4". Lineage: Eukaryota; Metazoa; Chordata; Mammalia; Primates; Hominidae. The record is from RNAcentral.